AAAAUUGUGUAGACUAUGAUU
Molecule: small nuclear RNA, 21 nt
Filed under: Arabidopsis thaliana (thale cress)
Lineage: Eukaryota; Viridiplantae; Streptophyta; Magnoliopsida; Brassicales; Brassicaceae
Description: snRNA_00607
Source: RNAcentral